UACAGAGGGUGCAAGCGUUAAUCGGAAUUACUGGGCGUAAAGAGCUCGUAGGCGGCUUGUCACGUCGGGUGUGAAAGCCCGGGGCUUAACCCCGGGUCUGCAUUCGAUACGGGCUAGCUAGAGUGUGGUAGGGGAGAUCGGAAUUCCUGGUGUAGCGGUGAAAUGCGCAGAUAUCAGGAGGAACACCGGUGGCGAAGGCGGAUCUCUGGGCCAUUACUGACGCUGAGGAGCGAAAGCGUGGGGAGCGAACAGG
Molecule: ribosomal RNA, 253 nt
Filed under: uncultured bacterium
Lineage: Bacteria
Description: partial 16S ribosomal RNA
Rfam family: Bacterial small subunit ribosomal RNA
Source: RNAcentral